RNAcentral lists this unclassified non-coding RNA (417 nucleotides) under Hevea brasiliensis (rubber tree). Lineage: Eukaryota; Viridiplantae; Streptophyta; Magnoliopsida; Malpighiales; Euphorbiaceae. The record is from RNAcentral.
UUGGCUCUUAUGGAUGGUCUGGCUGAAGCUUUACAGCAUAACAUUCGCCGAGUGUAUGCUUUUACUGAUUCUGAUAUGUUAUAUGAUCAGAUGAUGCACGAGGAAAAAGUUGAGAUCCCGCUUCUGAUUGCUUUGAGGCAAAGGAUCCUUGAACAUGCCAGUAACCUGGAAACCUUUGUACUCAAAGUCAUUCCCAUAUUUGAUCUUGAGAGGCCAUUGCAUUUAGCCCAAGUAGCAGUUGGGGUUGUCUCUUUUCCUGCCAAUGGAAAUAAAUCACGUGACAACUGUUCUAUCUGUUGUGAGGAAAAGAUAUCACCAAUGAUGAUUGCAAUGAAAUGUUCUCACAAAUUCUGUUCACAGUGUAUGAGAACCUAUGUUGAUGGAAAAAUAAAGUCAUCUCAAGUACCAAUCAGAUGC